Molecule: long non-coding RNA, 461 nt
Organism: Bactrocera dorsalis (oriental fruit fly)
Lineage: Eukaryota; Metazoa; Arthropoda; Insecta; Diptera; Tephritidae
Exons: 2
Source: RefSeq, a predicted model, not a curated record
GAUGGAUUCCUGCAGCCAUCAAAUGCUGAGCAGGCUAAAAAAAGCUUAGAGUUAGAAGUCUCCACAUUUUUGUCAAAAACAACACCACGUCCACAGCCAACACCACCACAACCCAAACGCUUUUCCUUCAUGAGUCAAAAGCUGGAGGAUAAAGUAAAUCAAAUAAAGCUGACGCCAUAAUUCUUUUGCGCCAAUAUUUUGAAACGGCGCAUGAAGCUGAAGAAGUCAAUCCACUUGACUAUUGGAAGGAGCAUACAAAGGAUACGACAGCUUUAGCAAUAUUAUCAAAGAAGUAUUUUUGCGUACCAGCGUCUUCCUGCGCUUCUGAACGAGCGUUCAGCAAAGCUGGACAAAUUGUAUCGGACAGGAGAUGCGCUUUAAAAUCGAAUAUAGUAGAUAAGCUACUUUUUCUCAACAAAAAUCAAAAACAAUGAUCUCUUAAUAAAUUUGUUAAGUUUUAA